AUGGCAUUGACCUUGAUGGAAUCCAGGGUUUCCCAGCUGAGCUCCUGCACUAGGAAUUCACAGACCCGCAUCCUUCACGUUGAAGCAGGCUUCUGGCUGGGAAGUAUAACAUCAAGAGGAGGUCAUUGCCUACAAGGACUCACAGACAGGGUCAAAGGACACCGUCAUGGUGAAAAUGUCAAAGUUGCCUCACUUGGACCACACUGGGAAGAGGGCUUGACUCCUGAACUGAGAUGGUCUGGGCCCACCAGCUGUGACACCAGUGGUCCCAGUUGCAAGGAGCUGAGAUGACUCGGGGGAGGAGCUAAAGAACAGGACUCAUGACACCAAUACCAGCCCCUCACCCUGCUCUCUGGUGGCACAUCAUUUAUACCUCUGUUAAAUCCCUCACCUUGGGUUUGCACUGUAUAGAGGACUGACUGUGUCCUCCACUACCAACAUGUGACCUCUGCAGACAAGAACAUGUAAUGCAUUUAUCCCUUUGUUCUCACAGCACCCACAACUCUGCUUUAAUAGAUUUGCUCAAUAAAUAUUAGAUGAAGUAAAUGUCUCCUUUCUAAAGCCUUCUCAAAAUUCUGCCUUUGGAACUAAGUAGCUCAUGACAUAGCAGUUAACUCAUAGGAAUAAAAGUUAUAUAUGAACUGAAAUAAAAAUUUCAGAAUUAUUCUCUGUGCUAUGUUAUUUUUUUUUUCUCCAGAUACAUUUUUUUUGCCUUCCUCUGCCAUGCUGGUACCCGGAGUAGGCUGAUAUCCAUAGGCACCUUACUCAUGCUCUCUUGCCAGCUGGCAAUAGUAGGUAUGCACAGGAGAUUGGGAAGUGGAAGGAGAUAGAUCAGAGUAUUUCUUCUACAUUCACUCAUCUCCUCAAGGGCAGCCCUCUGUCCAUGGUUCUGGUUUUUCCAGAACAUUCCUUUUUGUUUUACUCCUUCAUUAAAAACUAGUCCCUUUGAAGCCUGGGUGUCGUAGCAGUUGAGCGUCUGCCUUUGGCUCAGGGCACCUGGGAUCCACGAUCUAGUCCCGCAUCAGGCUCCCUGCAGGAAGCCUACUUUCUCCCUCUGCCUAUGUUUCUUCCUCUCUCUGUGUGUCUCUCAUGAAUAAAUAAAUAAAAUAUUUUAAAAACUAAAAAUAAAAACUAGUCCCUUCUUCGAUGUCUUUUGAUUUGCAUUAUCUGGGAGGAGUUCCGUUUUGCUGUGGCCCUGACUUCCACACUCUCUCACACCUAGAACUACCAGGGGUAGCUAAGACAACCAAAUUUUCCAGGAUAGACAGUUUUAAGAUAAAAUGUCUAAAGCAACAUGCAAAAGCAUAAGAAGAAGAGCUGAUUGUCAGAAUCAAGGCAAAGUUAGAAAAGGUAAAAAUAAAGUGAAGAUCUGAAUAGAAAUCAAUAGGAUAAGAGAACAGUAGUGAAAAGGGAGUUUUAAAAAAGAGCUCCUGGGGAUGAAGAAGAAUGUUAGAGAAUUAAGGAGACAAAGUCUGUGAGUAGGAACUGCACCACUAACAAAAGAGCUCAGAAACCGAUAUGCUAAUAUUCCUUAUGGAAUGGACACUUUCAGAUUUUGUGUUCAAACAGCAGGUCUGCAAUUUAAACCAAAGCCUUAGAGAAUUCAAGGGUUGGAAAAAAAGAGUGGCAUUAUUAACUCAACCUUCUAAUAUAUAUGUUUGAAAUUAUUCCUUACAUUGAUCGUACAGAAGACUUGGUUCCACGUAUUUGUGGAAAUUUCUCUAGAAAUCCUAUAUUACUAAAAAGCCAUUGAAA
This 1755-nucleotide long non-coding RNA is filed under the name Canis lupus familiaris (dog). RNAcentral describes it as "lncRNA (ENSCAFG00030019966.1)". Lineage: Eukaryota; Metazoa; Chordata; Mammalia; Carnivora; Canidae. The record is from RNAcentral.